This 253-nucleotide ribosomal RNA is filed under the name uncultured bacterium. RNAcentral's name for it is "partial 16S ribosomal RNA". It matches the Rfam family "Bacterial small subunit ribosomal RNA", at positions 524 to 776 of the family's 1533-position model. The record is from RNAcentral.
UACGGAGGGUGCGAGCGUUGUCCGGAAUCACUGGGCGUAAAGGGCGCGUAGGCGGCCGUGUAAGUCACUUGUGAAAUCCCGGGGCUCAACCCCGGGGCUGCAGGUGAGACUGCGUGGCUAGAGUACGGUAGAGGCGAGUGGAAUUCCCGGUGUAGCGGUGGAAUGCGUAGAGAUCCGGAAGAACACCGGUGGCGAAGGCGGCCUGCUGGGCUAUGGCUGACACUGAGGCGCGACAGCGUGGGGAGCAAACAGG